Molecule: ribosomal RNA, 453 nt
Filed under: Triticum aestivum (bread wheat)
Lineage: Eukaryota; Viridiplantae; Streptophyta; Magnoliopsida; Poales; Poaceae
Description: partial small subunit ribosomal RNA
Source: RNAcentral
AUGGCUUUCAUCGUGUCCAAGCUCGCGCGGGCAGCCCUCGCAUCCCGCCCCGUUGGAGAUAUUGCUGGUGGCAUCUCCCCAUGUCUCUCCCGGCUCUAUCUGGCGGCUUGUACCAGCCGUCGCAUGUUUGCAGCUUCUGGCGGUCCCAUGUCAAAAGAUGCACCCCGAAUAUUUCCCCUUGUUGAUGAGAAUUCCAUUAAGUCGAAGGAAUCCCUAUGGGCCUUGUAUGAAUGCUGGUGCAAGUAUUGGGGGGUAUCCCGUGACCGUGAAGAGAUGGUCCGCCGGUUCAAGUCAUUUGAGGCUACUGCACAGUGGGUUUACAAAAUGAACAACUCUGAGUGUUCGCAAGUGUCUCAACUGGGCCCGCAUGCAGAUAUGUCAGAGAGGGAGUUUGCUCAGCUGUUUCCUCCACUUCCUGAGGAUGAUGAUGAAGACAUAGAAGUGCUGGUAUGA